UACGGGGGGAGCAAGCGUUGUUCGGAUUUACUGGGCGUAAAGGGCGCGUAGGCGGCGCAACAAGUCACUUGUGAAAUCUCCGGGCUUAACUCGGAGCGGCCAAGUGAUACUGUCGUGCUAGAGUGCGGAAGGGGCUACUGGAAUUCUCGGUGUAGCGGUGAAAUGCGUAGAUAUUGGGAAGAACACCGGUGGCGAAGGCGGCGACCUGGUCCAUUACUGACGCUGAGGCGCGACAGCGUGGGGAGCAAACAGG
This 253-nucleotide ribosomal RNA is filed under the name uncultured bacterium. RNAcentral describes it as "partial 16S ribosomal RNA". It matches the Rfam family "Bacterial small subunit ribosomal RNA", at positions 524 to 776 of the family's 1533-position model. The record is from RNAcentral.